Molecule: small nuclear RNA, 126 nt
Filed under: Zea mays
Lineage: Eukaryota; Viridiplantae; Streptophyta; Magnoliopsida; Poales; Poaceae
Description: U5snRNA
Rfam family: U5 spliceosomal RNA
About the family: U5 RNA is a component of both types of known spliceosome. The precise function of this molecule is unknown, though it is known that the 5' loop is required for splice site selection and p220 binding, and that both the 3' stem-loop and the Sm site are important for Sm protein binding and cap methylation.
Source: RNAcentral
ACGCAGCUGCGCAGUGGGCACAAAGCGAACUAUUCUUUCGCCUUUUACUAAAGAAUACCGUGUGCCCGCUGCAAUUAGCAGCAUACGCAUAUUUUUGGAGGGUUCUCUCUUUUGUGAGAAGCCCAA